Molecule: ribosomal RNA, 1521 nt
Filed under: metagenome
Description: bacterial SSU rRNA
Rfam family: Bacterial small subunit ribosomal RNA
Source: RNAcentral
AGAGUUUGAUCCUGGCUCAGAACGAACGCUGGCGGAGUGCUUAAUACAUGCAAGUCGUGCGAGAAAGCGUCCUUCGGGAUGUGAGUAGAGCGGCGAACGGGUGAGUAACACGUAAGCUACCUGCCCCUAAAUCUGGGAUAACCUUUCUAACGAGGGGCUAAUACCGGGUGUGAUCUUUACCUCGCAUGGGGUUUAGAUUAAAGAUGACCUCUACUUGUAAGUUAUCGUUUGGGGAUGGGCUUGCGGCCCAUUAGCUUGUUGGUGGGGUAAUGGCCUACCAAGGCAACGAUGGGUAGCCGACCUGAGAGGGUGAUCGGCCACAUUGGGACUGAGAUACGGCCCAAACUCCUACGGGAGGCAGCAGUAGGGAAUUUUGCGCAAUGGACGAAAGUCUGACGCAGCAACUCCGCGUGAGGGAUGAAGGCCUUCGGGUUGUAAACCUCUGUUGGUAGGGAAGAAAUGGCUUAUGGCUAAUAUCUGUAAGCUUUGACGGUACCUGCCGAGGAAGCUCCGGCUAACUACGUGCCAGCAGCCGCGGUAAUACGUAGGGAGCAUGCGUUGUUCGGAAUCACUGGGCGUAAAGGGAGCGUAGGCGGAAAUAUAAGUUAGAAGUGAAAUGUAGCGGCUCAACCGUUAAUCUGCUUUUAAUACUGUAUUUCUUGAGUAUGGGAGAGGAAGAUGGAAUUCCAGGUGUAGCGGUGGAAUGCGUAGAUAUCUGGAAGAACACCAGUUGCGAAGGCGGUCUUCUGGCCCAAUACUGACGCUGAGGCUCGAAAGCUAGGGGAGCGAACAGGAUUAGAUACCCUGGUAGUCCUAGCCGUAAACGAUGGAUACUAGAUGCUGGAAGCUAUUUUGUUUUCAGUGUCGCAGCUAACGCAUUAAGUAUCCCGCCUGGGGAGUACGCUCGCAAGGGUGAAACUCAAAGGAAUUGACGGGGGCCCGCACAAGCGGUGGAGCAUGUGCUUUAAUUCGAUGCAACGCGAAGAACCUUACCUGGCCUUGACAUGGGAGUGAAAGUUUCUAGAGAUAGAAGCCCUUCCCUCGGGAACACUCCACACAGGUGCUGCAUGGUUGUCGUCAGCUCGUGUCGUGAGAUGUUGGGUUAAGUCCCGCAACGAGCGCAACCCCUGUCCUUAGUUGCCAUCAGGUAAUGCUGGGAACUCUAAGGAGACUGCCUGGAUCAACCAGGAGGAAGGUGGGGAUGAUGUCAAAUCAUCAUGGCCCUUACGGCCAGGGCUAGACACGUGCUACAAUGGGCGGUACAGCGGGAUGCGAACUUGCGAGAGUAAGCUAAUCCCUUAAAACCGUUCUCAGUUCGGAUUGGAGUCUGCAAUUCGACUCCAUGAAGUUGGAAUCGCUAGUAAUCGCGGAUCAGCAUGCCGCGGUGAAUACGUUCCCGGGCCUUGUACACACCGCCCGUCAAGCCAUGAAAGAAGGUAGUACCCGAAGCCGUUUCUCUAACCGCAAGGAAGAAAACGUCGAAGGUAAGAUCUUUGAUUGGGGCUAGGUCGAAACAAGGUA